UGGCGGGACUGCGCGGCGGCGACUACAGACGUGUCGGGGGUCCGGGGCCUGUCGCGGUUGCCAAGCGCUCGGCGCUUGGCGCUGGCGCUGGCCAAGGCGAUUUCUGCUCAGUAUCCAGUAGUGGAUCAUGAAUUUGAUGCAGUGGUGGUAGGCGCUGGAGGGGCAGGCUUUGCGAGCUGCAUUUGGCCUUUCCGAGGCAGAGUUUGAUACAGCAUGUGUUACCAAGCUGUUUCCUACCAGGUCACACACUGUUGCAGCGCAGGUAGAAAAUUAUGGCAUGCCGUUUAGCAGAACUGAAGAUGGGAAGAUUUAUCAGCGUGCAUUUGGCGGACACAGCCUCAAGUUUGGAAAGGGCAGGCAGGCCCAUCGGUGCUGCUGUGUGGCUGAUCGGACCGGCCACUCAAUAUUGCACACCUUAUAUGGGAGGUCUCUGCGAUAUGAUACCAGCUGUUUUGUGGAGUAUUUUGCCUUGGAUCUCCUGAUGGAGAAUGGGGAGUGCCGUGGUGUCUUCGCACUGUGCAUACAGGACGGGUCCAUCCAUCGCAUAAGAGCAAAGAAUACUAUUGUUGCCACAGGGCUACGGGCGCACCUACUUGAGCUGCACGUCUGCCCACACCAGCACCAGCGACGGCACGGCCAUGAUCACCAGGGCAGGCCUUCCUUGCCAGGACCUCGAGUUUGUUCAGUUCCACCCCACAGGCACAUAUGGUGCUGGUUGUCUCAUUACGGAAGGAUGUCGUGGAGAGGGAGGCAUUCUCAUUAACAGUCAAGGCGAAAGGUUUAUGGAGCGAUACGCCCCCAUCGCGAAGGACCUGGCGUCUAGAGAUGUGGUGUCUCGGUGGAUGACUCUGGAGAUCCGCGAAGGAAGAGGCUGUGGCCCUGAGAAAGAUCACGUCUACCUGCAGCUGCACCACCUACCUCCAGAGCAGCUGGCCAUGCCCUUGCCCGGCAUUUCAGAGACAGCCAUGAUCUUCGCUGGUGUGGACGUCACGAAGGAGCCGAUCCCUGUCCUCCCCACCGUGCAUUAUAACAUGGACGGCAUUCCCACCAGCUACGAGGGGCAGGUCCUGAGGCACGGGAAUGG
Molecule: long non-coding RNA, 1084 nt
Filed under: Homo sapiens (human)
Lineage: Eukaryota; Metazoa; Chordata; Mammalia; Primates; Hominidae
Description: non-protein coding lnc-MUC20-67:5
Source: RNAcentral